Molecule: ribosomal RNA, 506 nt
Filed under: uncultured bacterium
Lineage: Bacteria
Description: bacterial SSU rRNA
Rfam family: Bacterial small subunit ribosomal RNA
Source: RNAcentral
AGUGAACGCUGGCGGCAGGCCUAAUACAUGCAAGUCGAACGGCAGCACGGCAGAGCUUGCUCUGUGGGUGGCGAGUGGCGGACGGGUGAGGAAUACAUGGGAAUCUGCCCAGUCGUGGGGAUAACGUAGGGAAACUUACGCUAAUACCGCAUGCGCCCUUCGGGGAAAGCCGGGGACCUUCGGGCCUGGCGCGAUUGGAUGAGCCCAUGUCGGAUUAGCUAGUUGGCGGGGUAAUGGCCCACCAAGGCGACGAUCCGUAGCUGGUCUGAGAGGAUGAUCAGCCACACUGGAACUGAGACACGGUCCAGACUCCUACGGGAGGCAGCAGUAGGGAAUAUUGGACAAUGGGCGCAAGCCUGAUCCAGCCAUGCCGCGUGAGUGAAGAAGGCCCCUCGGGUUGUAAAGCUCUUUUGUCCGGAAAGAAAAGCGCCGGGUUAAUACCCUGGUGUCCUGACGGUACCGGAAGAAUAAGCACCGGCUAACUUCGUGCCAGCAGCCGCGGUAAU